Molecule: long non-coding RNA, 4057 nt
Filed under: Solanum tuberosum (potato)
Lineage: Eukaryota; Viridiplantae; Streptophyta; Magnoliopsida; Solanales; Solanaceae
Description: long non-coding RNA (STUB_LNC009153)
Source: RNAcentral
GAGAAAUUAAAUUAUUAAAAAAGGCAUGUUACCUCUCGUAAUCUAGGACAUGUCAUAAUCAUACAACACAAACAAUCAAAUUUCAUUGUAUCUUCAAAUUUGAUAGUCCAAACUUGAAGUGGAUGGAAUUGGCCUGCAUUGUUUGUUAUCCAUUUGAAUCAUAACUGAAUAAAUUCAUGAAGUACACAUUUCAUCUCUGUGCUGCAAUUUGAAAAAAUUUAAUAUUAAUAUGUCAUCGAUAGAAGAACUAAAACAAAUUUGGUUGAAUUUUGAUUUCAUCUUUUUUGGAAUUUGAUUACAAUAACUUCACUAGAAAAGAAGAAGAGAAGUUAAAUCGUCAAAAGAAUUUAUGCAUGAAUAUAAAUUGAAAUAUAAUAAUAUCUCUUACCAUUUUAAAAAUAACUGUACCCUAAUUAUUUGGCUUAAUCUAAUUUAUCUAUAUAUUUAUCUAUAUAUAAAAGGAGAAGAAAAAAUGACACAUGUCAUGACCACAAUUUUUUAGAAUUUUAAAUUUUAAAUCAUUUUAAAUAAUCAGUAAUACAUAAUUAUUUAAAUAAUUACAAGUUGAUAGAUUUUGCGGUAGUUACACAACAUUUGUUUUUUAAAAAUAUUAAUAAUUAAUUACAAAACAAGUUGAUAGAUUAUGCGGUAGUUACACAACAAUUUUUAAUUUUUUUUUUAUAAAUAAUUAGUUACAAAUUAUUAUUUAACUAUUACAUCAUCUAUCUACAAAUACUUAAUUUUAAUUACAAAAGCUUAAAUUUUAAAUUAAUAUAUACAAAAAUAUUCGACUGUGACAUCAUAUGUUAUAAAACACAUAACCAAGAUAGAUACCAAGCAAUAUUCGAUAUGACAUUAUAAACAUAAUAACCAAUGUACAAAUUUAAUGCUGUUCUGAAGACCUACUUGGCCUGAGAGACAAAACUUAAGAAAAUUUUCCAGAAUAGCGCAUGAUGAGCUUCACAAUGAAACUUAAAUAACUCAACUAUCAUGGUUAACUGGAUCGAGGCAGCCUCAAAAUCAGAAGAUACAUAAUUUUAAUUACAAAAGCUUAAUAUAUCAUUAUUUUGUAUUUAUAAUUUAUACCAAACAAUAAAUAUAUUUUAACAGAUAAAUACAAGCAGUUUUAUAACUUCUCAAUAACCAUCCAAUAAACAAGGAAACUUAAACUACAAUUAUUUACUGCAUCUAUAAAUUUCCCUACUAUAUAUAGACAUCUUUCAAUAAUAACUUUACAUACCUUUACAUUGUUCGUCGAUUGUUCUGCGAUAUUCAGUAAUAUAGAUGGCUUUGCACUUUCACACAAUCUCAGAAAUUACAUCUAAAUCAAUGCACUGGAACUUAAAAGUUCGUGUUAUUCGAUUGUGGAUAGUUCCUGAUAAAUUCAAAUCAGAAAUACCUUACUCUUUGGAGAUGAUUUUACAGGAUGAAAAGGUACUACUCAUACAAAUAGUUUUUAUAUACUUGAAAACAAUUAUCAUAAAACAAUAUUUUGUUUUAUUACAGGGUGAUCGUAUUCAUGCAUCACUUGGAAAGACAGUAAUUAAGCAUUUCGGAGAAAUUCUAUAUGAACUUGGUGUUUUUCGGAUGAAUUACUUUGUGAUUGCCCCAAACAUCAUGAAAUUUUAAGACAACAACACACAAACACAAGCUUAACUUCACUGUGACUACAAAUGUUAAGGAAAUUCAAGAUCCUUCUUUUCAUAUGGAUAUAUUCAAUAUCCGCACCUUUGACAAAUUGACAAUUCAUCACAAUGUUGAUGAGACUGAGUCUUUUGGGUAAUAAUGAUAUGUUAUUCCAUUCAUUAGAUUUUAAAUUUACAAUAUAUUAAUAAUGUAUUUUAUUGCAGAUGUUGUUGGACAUGUUGCUUCAUAUCAACCAAUUCAACAGAUAAAGCAAGGAGAUGACAAUAAUUAUUUCAUCAAUAUUGUUCUAGAAGAUGAUAAGUAAUUAUUUGAAAUUUAGUUUAUUAUUAUAUAUAUUCAUUUAUCAUUUAUAUAUUAAAAUGUAAUUAAAUUUCAUUAAUACAGUAAAAAUAGACUGUCAACAACAUUAUGGGGUGAACUUGCGGACCAAAUACAAUCACAUUUGACGGGAUCUGCAGAUGAACCUUUGAUUGUGGUUUGUCAAUUAAUGAAGGCUCACAAAUUUAGAGGUUUACACAUUGUAAUUUCAGUAACACAAUUUUAAAAUACAAAUUUAUUUUGUAUAAAUAUUUUGACAUUGUAUAAUAUCAAUCAUCAGAAAACUACUAAGUACGUAGUUGUUGGUAUCAAACCAAAAUCUGGAUUAAUCCUAAUCUACCUCAGCCUACUGAAUUCAAAGACAGGUUAGAAAAUUAUACUAUGUCUUAAGAGAGGAAUCCUCUCUAGGUGCUUAGUUUAAUUUACAUCUUAUUGUAUUGGGUGAAGUAGACUAACCUUAGUAGGUAGGUUUACUUCUACCCACCAUAGGAUUGGAGGUAAGGUACUUGCCCCCCUCCAUGUAUUUUUGAAUUUCAUAUAUGAUAAGGCCUGGGGGUGUUGCUCAGCCCCUGAACCCCUCAAGGGUCGUUCUAAUAAAAAAUAAAAAAAUAAAAAAAAAGAUAGAGGCUCCAACUGUCUGUUAUGGAUGGCACUGUAUUUAUUUCAAUAUUGCUUUGGAAUAAAGAGACUAUACAACUACUUGGUAAAACUGCAAAAGAGUUGAAAGAAGGAUUACUUGAAGAUGACGAAAGUUCUUAUCCAACAGAGAUUGGUGAUUUAAUGGAGAAGAAAUUUAUGUUUAAGAUUUUGAUCAAGGACUCAAACAUUAACAAAAAAGAUAAUGUCUAUAAAAAUGUUAAUUUCACCUAUGAUGAUGCUCUUUUAAAAGAAUAUUGUCAUCCUGAUCUUCAGGACAGUCUUAAUGUAAGUGUUUAAACACCAACAUAUUUGUUUACAUUAUACAUACAAAUUUUUAAAUUUUGUAUAAAUUGUUAAUUAUGUUUAUAAUGUUCAAACAAAAAUCACUUUUUGAAUGUGAGCAAAGCUAUGAUGAAGAUAAACUCUUUGAGUUAUUCUAACUUUAGAUAAGUUACAUCUUCUAUAUUACUAAUCAGAUUGAAAACACUUGAAGUACUUAUAAUCUUUAUGUUAUUUUAAUUUUAGACUCCAAACAAGAGCAGCAUUUCAGAGUGUCGUACAUUAAUUACUGAAGAUGUGAUUGAUUUAACUACAAAGAUAUCUACCAAGAGUAGCAAAGCUGCUAGAAAAUCUACAAGGCAUGAAAUUAAAGACGAUUUGAAUGUCAAACAACCCAGCAACAAAAUUCGCAAAGUGAUUAAGAAGGAAAAGAAUACCUAAAGCUAUCUUCCAAAUUUGAAGUUAUUGGAAGAUUAUGUUUUAAUUUAGGUUGUAUUAAGUUUAGUUUAUUAUUUUAAUAUAUUUAUGUUUUAAUAAGGUAGUUGGAUGAUCUAUGUAGUUUAUUAUAUAAAUUCAAGCUAUUAAGUUGUCUUCUUUAUUUAUAUCUCUCUCUCUCAAUCUAUAUCUAUCUAUCAUUCUCUCUCUCUCUCACUCUAUAUAUAUAUAUAUGUGUGUUUGUGGGGUUGUUUUUAAUUUAUGUUGUUAAUCCUCUACAUGUUGUCUUAAUGUGUAUUUUAUAUUCUCUGACUUAUAGUUUUACAUUCAUUAGUAACAGAAGGAUCAUUAAAGUUAACUUUACUGCAUACAAAAUCUAAACAACACACUAUUAGCUGAUUUUUACAAAUACGUUAGUGCAAUUUAAGAGACAUACCUUAUUCCCAUAUGUUAAAAAACAUGCAACACUUUGGUGAACAAUAUGGUGGAUCCACAUCAAUUUCUGAGCUGAUAUAUUCAGAAUAGGAAUCAGAUAUUCUAAAGCUCCAAGCAAUUCAUCUUCAUUCUUCCAAUAUAUAUGUUCAAAGGUAGUCAUAAUGAACAAUGAUUUAUAAUAAUUCUAUCAAAUUUGCUGAAGGAGUACCUUGCUUUAUAUAACAUGUUGAAUCUUCAUUUAUAUUCACAAUGCUACAGCCCCAAAGUUGCACCAAAACAGCAGCAGAAAAGAUCCAAAGCUGCA